GCAUUGGUGAUAUAGUGGUGAGCAUAGCUGCCUUCAAGCAGCUGACCCAGGUUCGAUUCCUGGCCAAUGCA
RNAcentral lists this transfer RNA (71 nucleotides) under Bos taurus (domestic cattle). RNAcentral describes it as "tRNA-Und (NNN) (tRNA-Und-NNN-9-1)". It matches the Rfam family "tRNA". From Rfam's summary of the family: Transfer RNA (tRNA) molecules are approximately 80 nucleotides in length. Their secondary structure includes four short double-helical elements and three loops (D, anti-codon, and T loops). The record is from Rfam by way of RNAcentral. RNAcentral also lists the same sequence under 4 other names. Lineage: Eukaryota; Metazoa; Chordata; Mammalia; Artiodactyla; Bovidae.